Long non-coding RNA from Girardinichthys multiradiatus, 1780 nucleotides. RefSeq lists it as uncharacterized. The record is from RefSeq and is a predicted model, not a curated record. Lineage: Eukaryota; Metazoa; Chordata; Actinopteri; Cyprinodontiformes; Goodeidae. The transcript has 2 exons.
CAGAGCUGUUUGCAUUACACAGAUUGAACUGGAAAAAAUACCGUCUGCUGAAAGCUAGUUGUACUUUUGAUGCAGAAGAUGAAAAAAAGAGGGAAAAAGGCAACUCUGCCCACUUUGGAAGAAAACUGGUCAGGGAUGUCCCAGGCAUCCCUUAUCAAGACCAGAUGAUUUAUCUCAUGAGGAGAAUGUUGUUUAUCGUUCUCUGAGGGGAAAUUCAGCCUGGCUGCUGGAAAGAUGCUUCUGAGAUGAUGAGACAAAGCUGGAACACCAAAACCACACAGUCUGAAUCACACGUCCCUUAAGAUCCGCUGUAGGGUACCUGUGUCUCUGAAAGUCCGGUCAGAUGGGACACGGCUUCAAUGCAGAGACGGCCUCGGCUGAAUGGGAAUGUAACAAAGAGCAACCCUUACAGUACACAGCAACUGAACCGGUCCUCCUAGGAACCUCUUCCUCCAAGACCUUGAUACUCACUGUAGAUCCAUCUAUUCAUUUAUCCAGUGACCUCUGUUCAUCCACCCUGUGGGUUCAGGAGAUUAAAGCCAAUGAGGGAAACUCAGACAUCCCUUUAUCAAGUGACGCUUUCCCAGGAAAGUUCUGGGUCUGCCCCAGCAUCUCUAUCCAGUGGGAUGUCCAUUAUCCCUUCCACAGAGAGGGUCCCAGAAGGUCCCCUGAUGAGAUGAACCUCCUCAGCUGACUCCAUCUGAGAUGUAGGAGGGGUAGCUUUACUCUGAGCUUCUCCUGGUAAAUGGAAACCCUCUGGUCAACCUAGCGAAGAUCAAUCUGGGAUAUCAUUCUCUCAUAAUCCAUGUUUCACAAGGUGAGCGUUUGGAACAUAGACGGACCAGUAAAAUUGGGUUCUUCACCUUCAAGGUCAGCAACUUCUUCACCACAACAGGCUGAAGCAAAGUCCUCAUGGCUGCAGAUGAGGCACCAAUCCAUCUUUUGAUCUACUGGGACUUUGUGCUACUGCAGAAGAUCAAGAUACUGAAAAGGACCAGCAGGAAGCAGAAAUAAUCCUGGGCAAACUUAAUUUCUGAAAAUUUUAAAACUAUUUUUUUCUUCUAUUAGAAAAUGAGUCCAAAGUGAUGAAUUUUCAGGAGAUUUCUGUCCUUUUCUGACAGUAACGAAUAAAGUAGAUAUAUAGUGUCUUCUAAGAGUAUUCAGACCACUGGAACAUUUCACCACAACCACAAAGAUCACACGUAUUUCAUUAGGACUGGUUGGAUAUUUGGUGGACUGACCCAAUGGCUACCGGAGAUAGGCACCAGAGACAGCUACACCAGGAACAUCACUUCUACACUGGGUUAUGUUUCAUUCUGUUCUCAGCUGCUAUGUUCUCAUGCUGCGAGACCUUUGUAACAUCUUGGUGAGACACUGAGAUGGCCAAAAACUGGUUAUGUUUAGAGAUGAGCUAUGAGUAGCACCACAUCAGAACCACAUGAAAGAACCAGGAGCCGCCUGGGCUGAUGAGCUAUGAAGGAACAUCUCAAGAUCUUAUUUUUCUUCCAAGCAGCCAGACUUUCUGCCAAUCUUAUAAAACAGUCUUGAUCAAUUGUUCUUCACGCUUUUUGAAUUUAUUUGGCAGCUUUUUCCUUCAUUUUCACUUAACUCUGACCUCUGAAUCAUCCAGACUGAAAUUGCUCCUAAAAUCAAUGGAUGAACUAAUAUUGUGUGUCAAAAUAUAACAGACAACUCCGCAAAGAACCAGUUUUAAAGUGAAUCUUGAGGCUCUUUGUUACAAGCAGCCUCUCACAAAUUCCCAUUAAAUCUGUGAAAAAUC